GCGUCCGGGUUCGAGAAGAUUCUUUAAUUUAUAAUUUCUCUUCUUUUUUUCUGUAUUUUAUUUAGCUUCUGUCUCAAUAGGGUUGUCGAUGCCAUCCAGGGCUUCAUUGUAAGAGCGCGGAUUUCGACUAUGGAAUCAGAACAGUAGGUUUCGUUAUUUCUACAAGAUAGAUUAGGUAUCUUUUUAUUGAUUUAUUCCUUCAUUCUAUUAAAAACAUACGCUAGUAUCUAAUAUUUCGCAUAUACCUGUUCACAAAUCUUGUCACAAUAAGUUAUAAAUAUUUUUUCAUAUUUCUAUACUGAACUACCCGGUUCUUGACCGAUCCACCAGAACGGUUGAUAUCUGUGCUGCCUGGAACUGCGCGUUUCACUGCAGCCAGGUAUAGGCAGUUUUCUGUGACCGAAGACAAAAAAAAAAAAAAAGAAAGAAGAACUCACAUUAGCAACAUCUACAGACUUUAUGCAUGUAAAUUAUUCUUGCAACAAACAAUGGUGUUCUAACUGGCAAUUCAAAGUAUCAUGCACAAAGCGGCGAUGCCGUAUCCCACCAAUUAGCUUUUACGGGCACAGAUGUGGUGUGGCGGUAUCCCCGUUAUGCCACCUCUGCAAUGAGCCGGAAUGCAUCGAUCGCUUUUUAUUAUCAUGUCGGCGGUUUUCUGCUCAUCGAAAACUAUGUUUAUAAAUUCCGCUUCGAAAUCUAGGACUGCCUUUGUGCAGUACUGUUGUACUCUCACGUGGAGCAACGGUAUUAGGAUAGAGCCACAGGAACGUUUGCCAGUUAGAAUUUCAUCCGUGACACAAAAAGAUUGCCUUAUUAAUAUUUCGCAUUUGCUAUGAGUGAUAUAUUUCUCCUUCAGUAAGCUGUAAAUAUAGAAAAGUCAAAGCAAAAACACACAUUCACAGUUAUAUUAAUAAUAUUAUUAUUCGAAACUUGCUCAUUUUUACGUCUAUCCUCCAUGUAUUUUAUUAAUAAUUUUGUGUUACGAUAUUCCUAUCUAGGCAAGGCUGACUACCUUAUUAUACACUACUUUAUUUCAUUUAUUAUCGGUUUAUUUCUCAUCUUAGAAUAUUCAUGUAUUUCCCCUUUUUAUUAUGUAUCUAUUUAUCAACUAAUUUAUUUCAUUUUUCAAUCAUAUUACCAUCCGGUUCGUGGCCUGUCACCCACAGUGGGUUUGUGCCAUUAAUUCAGGCUUCACCAUCAUCAUCAUCGCUAACACCUAGCCUCUACAUAUACAUCUAGAUAGAUCGUACCUCGCGCUGGCCCGUGGAACGAGGCCUCGAGGUAAGCCCCCAUUGCCGUAACGAACCAUUCCUGUCUUGGGUGCCCCAGCGCGAGGACGUGUUCUUACAGGCUCUGGACAUCCUGUCCCUGUCGUUCCCUCUGGACGCUCGAGAAGAUCCAAGGUACACGUCGCUAUGGUACACGACAGGCACCUUGUCGUUACAAUAGAUGACGUCAACAAGCUUCAGCAGUUUACGCCUGGAGUGGAACCCAUUGGGUUUCCAGCAUACCAAGUGGCAUCUAGGAUGCAGGGACGUAGAGUGCAGAUCCAGAUGAAGCACCAAAUGCGCGUGUGUGCUCGUUCGGGACACCAGAGGCCUGUCACCCACAUAACCACAACGCUUGUGGGUGUCGCCCUGGACUUGGUCAGACGCCUUCUGCACUACAUAGUCCAUUGCCUGCUGUAGCACCACUAUUAAAGUGCCAUCAUCAUUUGCAACAUAAAUGGCGACUGCGGGAGGGUGGGGGGAGGGCCUCCCCAAGCGAUGCCGAAGUCAACUCCCCCCACCUAAAGCGUCAUUACGAGAGUUCUGUUACCCAUAUUUGAGCUGUCUUUUGGGUUGUCUCUACCUUUUCAGAAAAAAAUGUAUUGUGUGUGGCUAAAAGCUUAGUCACAAGUUGGCGCAGACGUGCAAAUCUCACGAUAGGAGGACAAGCGCAUUAGAAGAACCAGAGACGGCUACCUCACCCGCGUGUUUUUCACUUCAGCAUUUUUUGUUAAAUUUAUACUACGAUUGAUUAAAAACUUUAUUCUUCCACCGA
This is a long non-coding RNA of Dermacentor andersoni, 2043 nucleotides long. RefSeq lists it as uncharacterized. The record is from RefSeq and is a predicted model, not a curated record. NCBI's taxonomy places the organism in Eukaryota, Metazoa, Arthropoda, Arachnida, Ixodida, Ixodidae.